RNAcentral lists this non-coding RNA (919 nucleotides) under Pongo abelii (Sumatran orangutan). Lineage: Eukaryota; Metazoa; Chordata; Mammalia; Primates; Hominidae. The record is from RNAcentral.
GAGAGACGCGCAACUCCGCUCCGCACUGUGCGCCAGCAUCCCCGGGGCCCCGAGGGCGCUCAGGCCCGCCCGGAGACCCCCCGCCCAGGCUGGAGCCGGGCCCUGGGGCCCAGGGAGCGGCUUUAAAGAGUAAGAGCAGCGCACCCGGCUCCCUCCUGCUAAUUAGCCUUCAGAUUCCCCUCUGGCCUCAGUGCUCAUUCCGGGGAAGACACCUGCUGAGAUGUCUUUUUCCCCCUCCCCCAACCAAACCACUCAGGUCCUGCCUGCUCUUUCCCGGCUUGAUGCGGGCGUGUUUUCCUGUAUGUAUUUUUUCGUGCGGCCACAAACAGCAUCAGCUGGGGUUCCCGAAGGUCAGAAAAUGGCCAUUGAUUAAUCUAUUAGAAUAGUUGCCGAGAGAAAUAAAAAGGACGUAAAAUAACAGGGAACCUAUAAAUAAAGAAGCCAUAACUGGCUACUUGGAGUUGUUAAACGACUUAGCAUAUGAAAAAAUCGGAAAUGAGGCGCUGGGGAAGGAGCUGGGAUUGGCAGCGGCCUGGGUGUGGACAAAUCCUCCAAGAUUUAACUUCCAAGGAAACCGGCGGCGGAGCGGGUGGAGGAGGCGAGGAUGUGUGGCCAGUGCACGCGGAGUGCAAGGCCGCCUAGUUGGGAGCCGCAAGAGCCUGCCUGGUGUGGCAGGCACACGGAACCCAAUCCCUGUCUGUCUGCUGCGGCCUGGGAGGGGAGCGCCGGCCUCACCAGAGGAAGGAGCACGAGGGGAGGAGUUCCUAGAGGAAAUAAUUAGUGAAAUAUUUGCGGAAGAUGCUGGGAUGUGGAUUUAAUUCCACAUGGACAGUGGUGCUUCUGAUUCCCUCAGUCUGUUUCCCUUGGCCUAGACACAUCAAAAAUAAUUCAUUAAAAUAAAAAUAAAAAUUUAAAAACC